CCUGGGAAUGGCGUUUUGAACUGGCAGUCUAGAGUGCGUCAGAGGGGGGUGGAAUUCCACGUGUAGCAGUGAAAUGCGUAGAGAUGUGGAGGAACACCGAUGGCGAAGGCAGCCCCCUGGGAUGACACUGACGCUCAUGUACGAAAGCGUGGGUAGCAAACAGGAUUAGAUACCCUGGUAGUCCACGCCCUAAACGAUGUCAACUGGUUGUUGGGGGAGUGAAAUCCCUUUAGUAACGAAGCUAACGCGUGAAGUUGACCGCCUGGGGAGUACGGUCGCAAGAUUAAAACUCAAAGGAAUUGACGGGGACCCGCACAAGCGGUGGAUGAUGUGGAUUAAUUCGAUGCAACGCGAAAAACCUUACCUACCCUUGACAUGUCCGGAAUCCUGCAGAGAUGCGGGAGUGCCCGAAAGGGAAUCGGAACACAGGUGCUGCAUGGCUGUCGUCAGCUCGUGUCGCGAGAUGUUGGGUUAAGUCCCGCAACGAGCGCAACCCUUAUCAUUAGUUGCUACGCAAGGGCACUCUAAUGAGACUGCCGGUGACAAACCGGAGGAAGGUGGGGAUGACGUCAAGUCCUCAUGGCCCUUAUGGGUAGGGCUUCACACGUCAUACAAUGGUCGGUACAGAGGGUUGCCAAGCCGCGAGGUGGAGCCAAUCCCAGAAAGCCGAUCGUAGUCCGGAUUGUUCUCUGCAACUCGAGAGCAUGAAGUCGGAAUCGCUAGUAAUCGCGGAUCAGCAUGUCGCGGUGAAUACGUUCCCGGGUCUUGUACACACCGCCCGUCCCCCCCAUGGGAACUGGAGAGAG
Molecule: ribosomal RNA, 806 nt
Filed under: uncultured beta proteobacterium
Lineage: Bacteria; Pseudomonadati; Pseudomonadota; Betaproteobacteria
Description: bacterial SSU rRNA
Rfam family: Bacterial small subunit ribosomal RNA
Source: RNAcentral